This 253-nucleotide ribosomal RNA is filed under the name uncultured bacterium. RNAcentral's name for it is "partial 16S ribosomal RNA". It matches the Rfam family "Bacterial small subunit ribosomal RNA", at positions 524 to 776 of the family's 1533-position model. The record is from RNAcentral.
UACAGAGGUCCCAAGCGUUGUUCGGAUUCACUGGGCGUAAUGGGUGCGUAGGUGGUAAGGCAAGUCAGGUGUGAAAUCUCCGGGCUCAACCCGGAAAUGGCAUUCGAAACUACCUUGCUAGAGGGUUUGAGGGGGGACUGGAAUACUUGGUGUAGCAGUGAAAUGCGUAGAUAUCAAGUGGAACACCAGUGGCGAAGGCGAGUCCCUGGAAAACUCCUGACACUGAGGCACGAAAGCUAGGGGAGCAAACAGG